AUUUACUGGGUGUAAAGGGAGCGUAGACGGACAAUUAAGUCUGAAUGUGAAAUCACCGGGCUCACCCGGGAACUGCUUUGGAAACUGUUUUUCUUGAGUGUCGGAGAGGUAAGCGGAAUUCCUGGGGUAGUAUUGAAAUGCGUAGAUAUCAGGAAAAACACCGGAGGCAAAGGCGGCUUACUGAACUAUAACUGACGUUGAGGCUCGAAAGCGUGGGGAGCAAACAGGAUUAGAUACCCUGGUAGUCCACGCCGUAAACAAUGAAUACUAGGUGUUGGGGAGCGAACCGUUUCAGUGCCGGCGCAAACGCAAUAAUUAUUCCACCUGGGGAGUACGUUCGCAAGAAUGAAACUCAAAGGAAUUGACGGGCACCCGCACAAGCGGGGGAGCGUGUGUUUUAUUUCGAACCAACGCAAAGAACCUUACCAAGUCUUGACAUCCCAUUGACAGAGCAAGUAAUGUACUUUCCCUUCGGGGCAAUGGAGACAGGUGGUGCGUGGUUGUCGUCAGCUCGUGUCGUGAGAUGUUGGGUUAAGUCCCGCAACGAGCGCAACCCUUAUCUUCUGUAGCCAGCAUUAAGAUGGGCACUCUGAAGAGACGGCCAGGAAUAACCUGAAGGAAGGUGGGAAUGACGUCAAAUCAUCAUGCCCCUUAUGACUUGGGCCACACACGUGCUACAAUGGCGUAAACAAAGAGAAGCGAGAGGGCGACCUUAGGCAAAUCCCAAAAAUAACGUCUCAGUUCGGACUGUAGUCUGCAACCCGACUACACGAAGCUGGAAUCGCUAGUAAUCGCGGAUCACAAUGCCGCGGUGAAUACGUUCCCGGGUCUUGUACCCACCGCCCGUCACACCAUGGGAGUUGGUAAUGCCCGAAGUCAGUGAUCCAACGUAAGAGGAAGCUGCCCAAGGCAAGACUGAUAACUGGGGUGAAGUCGUAACAGGGUGGGGUAAGGGGAGAAAA
Molecule: ribosomal RNA, 962 nt
Filed under: Oribacterium sinus
Lineage: Bacteria; Bacillati; Bacillota; Clostridia; Lachnospirales; Lachnospiraceae
Description: bacterial SSU rRNA
Rfam family: Bacterial small subunit ribosomal RNA
Source: RNAcentral